Long non-coding RNA from Mandrillus leucophaeus (drill), 696 nucleotides. RefSeq lists it as uncharacterized. The record is from RefSeq and is a predicted model, not a curated record. NCBI's taxonomy places the organism in Eukaryota, Metazoa, Chordata, Mammalia, Primates, Cercopithecidae. The transcript is spliced from 4 exons.
UUAAAUGAUUAAAUCAAGUACCUUGCAGGAGAGGCUGGGGUGGCCUUGAGGAUACACUCAAGGCUUCAGGACAUGCAGUCUGGAAGUGGGGGAAUCAAGAGCACCCUGCCUCUAGUACUGUCCUCAAUGAUAAGGCGCUGAGGUUCCCAACCUGGACCAAGAAGUACAUAUUCAGGUUCAAAAGAUAAAGCAAAACAAAACCUGAGCUCUCUCUCUAGAAUGAAGUACCUGGUCCCAGAUCACCAGCUAAUAUUUAUGGAAAGCUUAUCAGAAAACAGAAGUGUCAGCAGAGGACUGUAAGUGCUAUGUGAUUGGACUAUGGUGGCCAUGGAAUUUCACCUGCCCGGCACAUAUUCUCUCAUCCUCUCCUCCUCUGCCUUGUUUGGGAGGGAGAAAUCAGAAGGAGUGGGAAUGCAGUUCAGAGAGCAGAGGAGAAGAGAAGAAAAGAAGGAAGAAGGAAGAGGACUGGGGGUGGGUGGGGGGGAGGACACCAAUGGGAAGAGGGACAGAUCAACUCUACACACAAAAGUAAAUCAAAACACCAAAAACAGGGGUCUAUGUAAGGAAGCCUCUGCCCAUGAAUUGCUCGUUGCAUAGCUGCAGGGAGGGUGUUUGGGGGCAUAGAGAAUGAAAACACCUGUAUUUUGGUGUAGGGAAAUUGUUUCUGUCAAUUCACACCGUCCACACGCCACCUCC